This 1086-nucleotide ribosomal RNA is filed under the name Triticum aestivum (bread wheat). Its description in RNAcentral is "partial small subunit ribosomal RNA". Lineage: Eukaryota; Viridiplantae; Streptophyta; Magnoliopsida; Poales; Poaceae. The record is from RNAcentral.
AUGAUUGGAUCAUCAUCGAUCAUCUCAUCUGAUGACGGCCCUCGAGUGCCUGAGGAUCAUGCUGAACGGCGGCGCCGGCGGGCGAACCCGGCGACCGCCGGUAGCCGUCGUUGUCGUCACGGUCGCCGCCGUCGCGCCCUUCUUCACCACCACCACCUGCCCCGUGCUGUCCCUCUUCCCCGUGCUCGUCUUCACCUUCUGAACAGCCGCCGGAGAAGCAGCAGCAGGAGACCGAGGAGGAGGGGCCGUGGCCGCCUUCGCCGGCGUCGUCGUCUUGGCCGCCGCGAGGGCAAACGCCUUCUCCAGCGUGUUGUUGCUGAUGGGAUUGGGCGUCGCCGCCGGCUUGCUCCUGCGGCUGGCGCCGGCGGGCACGUCGCCGCGGAGGCUGGACUCGAGCAGCAGCACGCCGGCGCAGUGCUUGAGCACCUCGAGGCUCACGCGCGCGCCGUCCAGGCACCGGAGCCCCCGCGCCCGCCGCGCGCCGAUCCCGAAGUGCUCCGCCAGGGCCGCCGCCGCCGCCUCCUCGUCCUCCUGGCCGUCGUCCCCGGCGCCGGCCGGCCCGAAGCACCCCUGCGCGCCCUGCGCGAGGAGCACGUCGAGGGAGUCGACGACGCCCACGGGCUCCGGCGCGGGCAGGCCGAAGGCGGCGAAGGCCCCGCGCACGCGCGGGCAGCCGGCGCGCCGGAUGCCGUGGCCCGCCCACACGCGGCCGUCCAGCAGCUCGAAGAUGUCCGGGAAGACGUCCUCGAACGAGGGCGCGGCGGAGGAGGCGGAGAGGACGCCACCGUCGGCGCCGGCGUCGUCCGGGCGGAUGAGGGUGGAGUAGCUGGAGACCUCGACGAGGCGGCGCGGGCAGACGAGGAUGGCGGCGAACUCCAGCAGGCGGCACUCGCCGGACGGCGGCGCCGCCUCCACGUCGAAGAACACCAUCUCCCUCUUCUUGGUGUUCGCCAUUGGUGGAGGUUUCUUGGCGGUGGAGCUCUGUUUGUUUCUUGCUUGUGGGAAUGGAUCAAUGGAGGAGAGGAGGGAUGGGAGAAGGGACGAUCUUGUCUUGUCGGAGGAGCCUGCGGUAUAUAUAAGCUUUGA